This is a non-coding RNA of Lonchura striata (white-rumped munia), 240 nucleotides long. NCBI's taxonomy places the organism in Eukaryota, Metazoa, Chordata, Aves, Passeriformes, Estrildidae. The record is from RefSeq and is a predicted model, not a curated record.
AGAGAGGACACAGAACAGGAACUUCCAAUUUCCAAGCAGAAAUACAAGCACUGAUCCAACGAAAGCAGUAGCAAUGAGAGUUGCUCCAACAAAGCGUCUGCUCUCAGUCUGGAGAAUGCCAUCCGUUGAAUCUUCAAGAAAAACAGCCCCCAGGGUCAAGUUUCAGCUUGGAUUUUAACAGGAAAAGGCGCGAUGGCGUUCAUCUUCUCGAAGCCAUGAACGACAGUGUGAAAGGGCAAC